GAUGAAGAACGUAGUGAAAUGCGAUAAGUAAUGUGAAUUGCAGAAUUCAGUGAAUCAUCGAAUCUUUGAACGCACAUUGCGCCCUCUGGUAUUCCGGGGGGCAUGCCUGUUCGAGCGUCAUUACAACCCUCAAGCUUUGCUUGGUAUUGGACAUUGCCAGUUUCUGGCAGGUCUUAAAAUCAGUGGCGGUGCCAUUUGGCUUCAAGCGUAGUAAUUCUUCUCGCUUUGGAGAUCCAAGUGGUUACUUGCCAAUAACCCCCAAUUUUUUCAGGUUGACCUCGGAUCAGGUAGGGAUACCCGCUGAACUUAAGCAUAUCAUAAGCGGAGGA
RNAcentral lists this unclassified non-coding RNA (329 nucleotides) under soil metagenome. RNAcentral's name for it is "partial contains 5.8S ribosomal RNA, internal transcribed spacer 2, and large subunit ribosomal RNA". The stretch from base 1 to 120 matches the Rfam family "5.8S ribosomal RNA", at positions 35 to 154 of the family's 154-position model. The record is from RNAcentral.